Molecule: ribosomal RNA, 331 nt
Filed under: uncultured bacterium
Lineage: Bacteria
Description: bacterial SSU rRNA
Rfam family: Bacterial small subunit ribosomal RNA
Source: RNAcentral
CGCGUAGGCGGGAUAUUAAGUCUCUUGUCAAAGUGCGGGGCUCAACCCCGUGAUGCGGGAGAAACUAAUAUUCUUGAGUGCCGGAGAGGAAAGCGGAAUCCCCAGUGUAGCGGUGAAAUGCGUAGAUAUUGGGAGGAACACCAGUGGCGAAGGCGGCUUUCUGGACGGUGUCUGACGCUGAGGCGCGAAAGCCAGGGGAGCGAACGGGAUUAGAUACCCCGGUAGUCCUGGCCGUAAACGAUGGGUACUAGGUGUAGAGGGUAUCGACCCCUCCUGUGCCGGAGUUAACGCAAUAAGUACCCCGCCUGGGGAGUACGGCCGCAAGGUUGAA